CUGAUCAUAGGAUUGCCAAUUGGGCAUUGACAGUCCGUUAAGAUCAAUACGUGCUAUGUCUUCUCUCAGGGAGAGUGACUAGUCUCGAGUUAUUGGUGUGUGUGACAUCAAGACAAGUACGUAGGUGCUCAAUAGAGAAUGAUUUCACUGAACACGAUCAACGAAAAGUUCUCAUAUUCAUGUCACAUGAGAACUCAUGGUUGGGAUAAUGCAAAGUAGUCCUUUGACCUGAGGCAUCACAGUUGUCUUGUGGUUAAGUCCUUGAUCUUUGAUUAUGUCAAAGUUACCCCAUCCGCGGGUGUCCACGGCAUCGUUGGGGUUAAGCCACUU
Molecule: long non-coding RNA, 330 nt
Filed under: Malus domestica (apple)
Lineage: Eukaryota; Viridiplantae; Streptophyta; Magnoliopsida; Rosales; Rosaceae
Description: long non-coding RNA (MDOM_LNC000368)
Source: RNAcentral